CCUGGUGGCUCAGAUGGUAAAGAAUCUGCCUGCAAUGCAGGAGACCUGGGUUUGAACCCAGGGUCAGGA
RNAcentral lists this transfer RNA (69 nucleotides) under Bos taurus (domestic cattle). It matches the Rfam family "tRNA". From Rfam's summary of the family: Transfer RNA (tRNA) molecules are approximately 80 nucleotides in length. Their secondary structure includes four short double-helical elements and three loops (D, anti-codon, and T loops). RNAcentral also lists the same sequence under 1 other name. Lineage: Eukaryota; Metazoa; Chordata; Mammalia; Artiodactyla; Bovidae. The record is from Rfam by way of RNAcentral.